RNAcentral lists this ribosomal RNA (167 nucleotides) under uncultured bacterium. Its description in RNAcentral is "partial 16S ribosomal RNA". It matches the Rfam family "Bacterial small subunit ribosomal RNA", at positions 1334 to 1500 of the family's 1533-position model. The record is from RNAcentral.
GCUAGUAACCGCAGAUCAGCAUGCUGUGGUGAAUACGUUCCCGGGCCUUGUACACACCGCCCGUCACACCAUGGGAGUCGGUAACACCCAAAGUUGGUAGUCUAACCGCAAGGAGGACGCCGCCUAAGGUGGGAUUGAUGACUGGGGUGAAGUCGUAACAAGGUACC